GACGAACGCUGGCGGCGUGCUUAACACAUGCAAGUCGAACGGAAAGGCCCUGCUUUUGUGGGGUGCUCGAGUGGCGAACGGGUGAGUAACACGUGAGUAACCUGCCCUUGACUUUGGGAUAACUUCAGGAAACUGGGGCUAAUACCGGAUAGGAGCUCCUGCUGCAUGGUGGGGGUUGGAAAGUUUCGGCGGUUGGGGAUGGACUCGCGGCUUAUCAGCUUGUUGGUGGGGUAGUGGCUUACCAAGGCUUGGACGGGUAGCCGGCCUGAGAGGAUGGCCGGCCACACUAGGACUGGAAUACGGCCCAGACUCGUACGGGAGGGAGCAGUGGGGAAGAUUGAACAAGAGGAGGAAGCCUAAUGCAGCAAAGCAACGUGGGGGGAGACGUGAUUCGCGUAGUGUACCGCUUUCGCCUGUGACGAAGCGAGAGUGACGGUAACGGGUAAAGAAGCACCGGCUAACUACGUG
Molecule: ribosomal RNA, 468 nt
Filed under: uncultured bacterium
Lineage: Bacteria
Description: partial 16S ribosomal RNA
Rfam family: Bacterial small subunit ribosomal RNA
Source: RNAcentral